ACAUGAUUUUUUCUUAUUAAAGUUUUUAACCAAUCACAUUCCUGCCAUCAUCUGUUGCUAGGGUCAAAGAAAUCCGCCUGAGGCCUUCACUUUCAGUUCUGAAGUUUAAAAUAA
This is a long non-coding RNA of Salarias fasciatus (jewelled blenny), 114 nucleotides long. RefSeq lists it as uncharacterized. Lineage: Eukaryota; Metazoa; Chordata; Actinopteri; Blenniiformes; Blenniidae. The transcript is spliced from 3 exons. The record is from RefSeq and is a predicted model, not a curated record.